This 253-nucleotide ribosomal RNA is filed under the name uncultured bacterium. Its description in RNAcentral is "partial 16S ribosomal RNA". It matches the Rfam family "Bacterial small subunit ribosomal RNA", at positions 524 to 776 of the family's 1533-position model. The record is from RNAcentral.
CACGUAGGAUCCGAGCGUUAUCCGAAUUCACUGGGCGUAAAGCGCGUGCAGGCGGCCUGGUAAGUUGGAUGUGAAAUCUCCCGGCUCAACUGGGAGAGGACGUUCAAUACUGUCGGGCUAGAGGGCAGUAGAGGGAGGUGGAAUUCCCGGUGUAGUGGUGAAAUGCGUAGAUAUCGGGAGGAACACCAGUGGCGAAGGCGGCCUCCUGGGCUGCGCCUGACGCUCAGACGCGAAAGCUAGGGGAGCGAACGGG